RNAcentral lists this ribosomal RNA (3584 nucleotides) under Drosophila erecta. Its description in RNAcentral is "eukaryotic LSU rRNA". The stretch from base 567 to 3306 matches the Rfam family "Eukaryotic large subunit ribosomal RNA". The record is from RNAcentral. Lineage: Eukaryota; Metazoa; Arthropoda; Insecta; Diptera; Drosophilidae.
ACUCUAAGCGGUGGAUCACUCGGCUCAUGGGUCGAUGAAGAACGCAGCAAACUGUGCGUCAUCGUGUGAACUGCAGGACACAUGAACAUCGACAUUUUGAACGCAUAUCGCAGUCCAUGCUGUUAUGUACUUUAAUUAAUUUUAUAGUGCUGCUUGGACUACAUAUGGUUGAGGGUUGUAAGACUAUGCUAAUUAAGUUGUUUAUAAAUUUUAUAAGCAUAUGGUAUAUUAUUGGAUAAAAUAAUAAUAUUUUAUUCAUAAUAUUAAAAAAUAUAUAUGAAAAACAUUAUCUCACAUUUGGAUGUGAAAAACGAAGAGAAAUAUUUUCUUUUUCAAUCAAGUAAUACUGAGAAAUGUCUAGCAUAAAAAAUUGAAUUAUUUUUCAUCUAGAAUUGUCUCUUAUUAAUGAUUCGGAAAUAGAAAAAACUUGGUUAUGUUAUUAUUCUUCGUUGGUUCGUUUAAUGGAAAACACUUUGCUACAAGAAAUAAUGGAAAUUUUAUAACGAAUUUAAUAAAAUGUUUUUAUCAUUAUAUAUAAAGAAUUAAUGGCAAGAAAAAGUUAUAUACAACCUCAACUCAUAUGGGACUACCCCCUGAAUUUAAGCAUAUUAAUUAGGGGAGGAAAAGAAACUAACAAGGAUUUUCUUAGUAGCGGCGAGCGAAAAGAAAACAGUUCAGCACUAAGUCACUUUGUCUAUAUGGCAAAUGUGAGAUGCAGUGUAUGGAGCGUCAAUAUUCUAGUAUGAGAAAUUAACGAUUUAAGUCCUUCUUAAAUGAGGCCAUUUACCCAUAGAGGGUGCCAGGCCCGUAUAACGUUAAUGAUUACUAGAUGAUGUUUCCAAAGAGUCGUGUUGCUUGAUAGUGCAGCACUAAGUGGGUGGUAAACUCCAUCUAAAACUAAAUAUAACCAUGAGACCGAUAGUAAACAAGUACCGUGAGGGAAAGUUGAAAAGAACUCUGAAUAGAGAGUUAAACAGUACGUGAAACUGCUUAGAGGUUAAGCCCGAUGAACCUGAAUAUCCGUUAUGGAAAAUUCAUCAUUAAAAUUGUAAUAUUUAAAUAAUAUUAUGAGGAUAGUGUGCAUUUUUUCCAUAUAAGGACAUUGUAAUCUAUUAGCAUAUACCAAAUUUAUCAUAAAAUAUAACUUAUAGUUUAUUCCAAUUAAAUUGCUUGCAUUUUAACACAGAAUAAAUGUUAUUAAUUUGAUAAAGUGCUGAUAGAUUAAUAUGAUUACAGUGCGUUAAUUUUUCGGAAUUAUAUAAUGGCAUAAUUAUCAUUGAUUUUUGUGUUUAUUAUAUGCACUUGUAUGAUUAACAAUGCGAAAGAUUCAGGAUACCUUCGGGACCCGUCUUGAAACACGGACCAAGGAGUCUAACAUAUGUGCAAGUUAUUGGGAUAUAAACCUAAUAGCGUAAUUAACUUGACUAAUAAUGGGAUUAGUUUUUUAACUAUUUAUAGCUAAUUAACACAAUCCCGGGGCGUUCUAUAUAGUUAUGUAUAAUGUAUAUUUAUAUUAUUUAUGCCUCUAACUGGAACGUACCUUGAGCAUAUAUGCUGUGACCCGAAAGAUGGUGAACUAUACUUGAUCAGGUUGAAGUCAGGGGAAACCCUGAUGGAAGACCGAAACAGUUCUGACGUGCAAAUCGAUUGUCAGAAUUGAGUAUAGGGGCGAAAGACCAAUCGAACCAUCUAGUAGCUGGUUCCUUCCGAAGUUUCCCUCAGGAUAGCUGGUGCAUUUUAAUAUUAUAUAAAAUAAUCUUAUCUGGUAAAGCGAAUGAUUAGAGGCCUUAGGGUCGAAACGAUCUUAACCUAUUCUCAAACUUUAAAUGGGUAAGAACCUUAACUUUCUUGAUAUGAAGUUCAAGGUUAUGAUAUAAUGUGCCCAGUGGGCCACUUUUGGUAAGCAGAACUGGCGCUGUGGGAUGAACCAAACGUAAUGUUACGGUGCCCAAAUUAACAACUCAUGCAGAUACCAUGAAAGGCGUUGGUUGCUUAAAACAGCAGGACGGUGAUCAUGGAAGUCGAAAUCCGCUAAGGAGUGUGUAACAACUCACCUGCCGAAGCAACUAGCCCUUAAAAUGGAUGGCGCUUAAGUUGUAUACCUAUACAUUACCGCUAAAGUAGAUGAUUUAUAUUACUUGUGAUAUAAAUUUUGAAACUUUAGUGAGUAGGAAGGUACAAUGGUAUGCGUAGAAGUGUUUGGCGUAAGCCUGCAUGGAGCUGCCAUUGGUACAGAUCUUGGUGGUAGUAGCAAAUAAUCGAAUGAGACCUUGGAGGACUGAAGUGGAGAAGGGUUUCGUGUGAACAGUGGUUGAUCACGAGUUAGUCGGUCCUAAGUUCAAGGCGAAAGCCGAAAAUUUUCAAGUAAAACAAAAAUGCCAAAUUAUAUAAACAAAGCGAAAAUAAUACACUUGAAUAAUUUUGAACGAAAGGGAAUACGGUUCCAAUUCCGUAACCUGUUGAGUAUCCGUUUGUUAUUAAAUAUGGGCCUCGUGCUCAUCCUGGCAACAGGAACGACCAUAAAGAAGCCGUCGAGAGAUAUCGGAAGAGUUUUCUUUUCUGUUUUAUAGCCGUACUACCAUGGAAGUCUUUCGCAGAGAGAUAUGGUAGAUGGGCUAGAAGAGCAUGACAUAUACUGUUGUGUCGAUAUUUUCUCCUCGGACCUUGAAAAUUUAUGGUGGGGACACGCAAACUUCUCAACAGGCCGUACCAAUAUCCGCAGCUGGUCUCCAAGGUGAAGAGUCUCUAGUCGAUAGAAUAAUGUAGGUAAGGGAAGUCGGCAAAUUAGAUCCGUAACUUCGGGAUAAGGAUUGGCUCUGAAGAUUGAGAUAGUCGGGCUUGAUUGGGAAACAAUAACAUGGUUUAUGUGCUCGUUCUGGGUAAAUAGAGUUUCUAGCAUUUAUGUUAGUUACUUGUUCCCCGGAUAGUUUAGUUACGUAGCCAAUUGUGGAACUUUCUUGCUAAAAUUUUUAAGAAUACUAUUUGGGUUAAACCAAUUAGUUCUUAUUAAUUAUAACGAUUAUCAAUUAACAAUCAAUUCAGAACUGGCACGGACUUGGGGAAUCCGACUGUCUAAUUAAAACAAAGCAUUGUGAUGGCCCUAGCGGGUGUUGACACAAUGUGAUUUCUGCCCAGUGCUCUGAAUGUCAAAGUGAAGAAAUUCAAGUAAGCGCGGGUCAACGGCGGGAGUAACUAUGACUCUCUUAAGGUAGCCAAAUGCCUCGUCAUCUAAUUAGUGACGCGCAUGAAUGGAUUAACGACGGACGUGUUUUCCUCGAGCUCCCAUUGCUACGGUCAUUGUUGAGUAAAUCCGCGGAUUUAUACGUUGAAAAACGUGUGUGUGGUGAAGGUGUCGCGAACAAAAGUUGAAAAUUUGUGAACGAAAGAACAUCGCGUGUUGUGGAAAUAAACGAUUUUCAAUUGGAAAUUUUCCACGAGGGCCACGUGUUGAGUGAGAGCGCUCUCUGCGAGAGAGGCGUUAGCCCUUUUCGUGUGGGAUUCCCUCAGCGCCAGCUGAUCGGUUGUGAACUUUGCUAAGGUGUGUGCAUUGGAUAAUUUUUAGUGUUGCCAUACCGAGCAAUUGG